RNAcentral lists this ribosomal RNA (253 nucleotides) under uncultured bacterium. RNAcentral's name for it is "partial 16S ribosomal RNA". It matches the Rfam family "Bacterial small subunit ribosomal RNA", at positions 524 to 776 of the family's 1533-position model. The record is from RNAcentral.
UACGGAGGGGGCUAGCGUUAGUCGGAAUUAUUGGGCGUAAAGGGCGCGUAGGCGGCUUGAUAAGUCAAAGGUGAAAUCCCUCGGCUCAACUGAGGAACUGCCUUUGAAACUAUCGAGCUUGAGGCCGGGAGGGGGUAGCGGAAUUCCCAGUGUAGCGGUGAAAUGCGUAGAUACUGGGAGGAACACCGGUGGCGAAGGCGGCUACCUGGACCGGUUCUGACGCUGAGGCGCGAAAGCGUGGGUAGCAAACAGG